UACGGAAGGCAGCAGUGGGGAAUAUUGCACAAUGGGCGAAAGCCUGAUGCAGCUAUGCCGCGUGUAUGAAGAAGGCCUUAGGGUUGUAAAGUACUUUCAUCGGGGAGGAAAAAACAAAACUAAUAAUUUUAUUUCUUGACGUUACCCGAAAAAGAAGCACCGGCUAACUCCGUGCCAGCAGCCGCGGUAAUACGGAGGGUGCUAGCGUUAAUCAGAAUUACUGGGCGUAAAGAGCACGUAGGUGGUUUUUUUAAGUCAGAUGUGAAAUCCCUGGGCUUAACCUGGAACUGCAUUUUGAAACUGAAAUACUAGAGUAUCGUAGAGGGAGGUAGAAUUCUAGGUGUAGCGGUGAAAUGCGUAGAUAUCUGGAGGAAUACCUGUGGCGAAAGCGGCCUCCUAAACGAACACUGACACUGAGGUGCGAAAGCGUGGGGAGCAAACAGGGAUUAGAUACC
Molecule: ribosomal RNA, 455 nt
Filed under: uncultured bacterium
Lineage: Bacteria
Description: bacterial SSU rRNA
Rfam family: Bacterial small subunit ribosomal RNA
Source: RNAcentral